Molecule: ribosomal RNA, 444 nt
Filed under: Triticum aestivum (bread wheat)
Lineage: Eukaryota; Viridiplantae; Streptophyta; Magnoliopsida; Poales; Poaceae
Description: partial small subunit ribosomal RNA
Source: RNAcentral
AUGAGCCUCAGGCCCGCGUCGCCGUCCCAUGAGCAGCUGAUGAAGCGCAAACAAGAGCGUAAUCGCAAGAGUUUGAUUAUAGCGCUCAACACAUAUGCCAAGCAAAAUAAUAUGCAGAUUAAUGAUUUUGAGUUUGUGGAAGAGAAAGAAAGGAAUCUGGUUUCUGGAAUGCUUGGAGGAUAUGUGCAUUCCAACUUUGUGGUGAAAGGUGUAGAUGGCAGACCAACUUUGUUCUUUGCUGAGAUGGAGCAUGACUGCUUCCAGGAAGAACAUGUUGUUCUCUGCACUCCGUUGGAAGACAAGGACUCUGGUUGUUGUUUCGGGUGCAAUAAGCGAGCAAGAAAGCUCAGGCACCCCACAUGCGGUGGCUACUUGGGUGGACUCGAGGAUGUGCCGUUUCCUUACGUGGAGGAGGAUAGUGAUGAUGAGUGCUUUCUUGAAUGA